CAGAGCUCAACAAAAAUCCAGUGGAAGGCUUUUCAGCGGGCUUAAUAGAUGACAAUGAUCUUUCUCGAUGGGAAGUCCUUAUUAUUGGUCCUCCAGAUAACUAUAUGAAGGUGGUGUUUUCAAGGCUCAUCUUACUUUUCCAAAAGCCUAUCCACUGAGGCCGCCAAAAAUGAAAUUCAUCACGGAAAUCUGGCAUCCGAAUGUUGACAAGAAUGGCGAUGUCUGCAUUUCAAUUCUUCAUGAGCCUGGAGAAGACAAAUAUGGCUAUGAAAAACCUGAGGAACGCUGGCUUCCCAUUCACACAGUGGAAACUAAUGAUUAGUGUUAUUUCUAUGCUGGCAGAUCCCAAUGGUGAUUCUCCUGCUAAUGUUGAUGCAGUGGUAAGAUUAUCCUUGAUCUGCCAAUUGUUUUCAGUGUAGAAACCUAAACUUGCAAUGGAGUUUUACUUCUAGCUUGACAAACUAUACAGUAACUUCUGGAAGAACCUCUUAUCACAUGUUAAGGCUACCUUUUUGUUGGGCAAAGCAGUCAUGUUGUGAAAGACAAUGACUAGUUAGACCUGGGAAAUCUCUUGGAGAUUGCAAAGGAAAGAUGCUGUCAGAUUUCAUAGGCAGUAGUUUCUCUCCUAUGCAGUAACACAUUUAUUUAUAGUAAAUAACUUGUGCACAGAGAUGCUUAAUGGAUAAAGUUCAGCUCCUUCACCCUUAAAUUCAAGGGAGCUAGCUAUAAAACCUUGGGGAUAUAUAUUACAUAUAGCUGUUACAACUGCCAAUAAGUUUAGCUGUAGAAGUCAACAUGUUCUGGAACCUUUUUUGUUUCUUACUGUUAUUAGUAUAAUGCACCAAAAAUCCUGUUUUGGAAAUGAUAUAGCCUGUUACCAGAUGAUUGAUUUGAAUGGAAAGAGCAAAUGUGGUGGGGUCCCUCAGCGUAAUUGCUAUCACUUUUUGCAUCAACCUCUCUACAGCAGUCUUCCUGGGUUAAAGCAGCAGGAUUGACUGUAUCUGUGUGUGAUAGGAGAAUGUACUCGAAAAGGCUCCCCAGGCAUCUGGCUUUCUGCUGUGGAGGAAGUGUUGUCCCAGACUAGAAGGGUUGGCUGAGGAGGAGGAGGAAUUUAUAGUGGUUUAUAGCAGAAGACCAGGGUGAAUGUGCAGUAAGGAUUCUAUUGUCAGAUGCAGUAUAGUGCUUCUGGAGCAUGGCCUGUUCCGGAGUGGUAUAUACACACAGCUAUCUGUGCUCUGGAAUUGCUGCAUUUAUACCAGAAUAGCAGUUAGACUAGUAAAUAUUUGUGGUGGGGAGGGAAAAAAAUCUUGGUUCUUGGGAGGAAGUAGGGGAACAGGCUUCAGGCCCCAUUCAUCUGUGACACACCAACAUGCUUUCCUUGGAACUACUCUUGAAUUGCACUUCAGCAGCAAGUAAUUCAUGCUGUCCUCUCACAAAAGAGGGGGUGAGGAAAAGGGAAAUGGUAAUCAUAAGAUACAGAGUGUUCUAGAGGAAUGUUAACCUGCUUUGUCAAGCUAGCUGUAUGUCUCAAAGUGGGUGGGAGUAAGCCUUUGAUCCACUAUGCUGUUAGUAUUUCCAAAGGUGGUGGAGCUCUACUGAAAAAUCAUCAUGGGAGAGUAGUCUUAUGUGGAACAAACUUAGUGUGAAGAAACCCAGGAACAAACACAAAAAGUUGCAGUGAAGAAGUCCCUCAUCUGACAUUCUUCCGAGAGUUGGAUCUCCCCUUCUUGUGUCAUGUUACUGGUGGAAACAAAUACUCAAGGACACAUGGACUUUUUCUGCUGGCAAACCCGAGAGUGCUGCAAUGAGCAAGUUCUUAAUGAAAUGCUAAAAGUACAGUUAGAAUUCCUUAGUUUACAAGCUCAUGUAUGUUGAAUGUAACUGACUUAAGGCUGGAGAAAGCUUAUGCUUUUAGCUAUGCCUGUCACCUUCCUAGUAUCACAAGCUGGCUUUUUUUUUAUCUUGUGCCCCAUUCUGUCUGCUGCUUCAAGAGUGAGGUGUUUUGCCUGACAUAUUAGAUGGAAAACUCUGCAUUUGUGUACCUAAACCUUAGGGUAAAGGUUUGCUUUUAAACACAGUAUUUUCUAGCCCAGCUUGAAAGAACAAAAACUUCAAUCCAAAUCAGACAGUGAAGACAGUCUGAGGCAUCAUUUUGGAUACUAGGAACUAUUUUUCUGGCUGUGGCAUUAGAUGUUCCAAGCAACUUUGGAACUCAAUGUGCUGCUUGGGCAGCUUAGCAUCUCCUGCUGGAUUGUAGGUUGCCUCCUCUAUAUUAACCAGAACAUACGCAACAGGGUAAUGAAGAAUUCUGAGCUGCUAUCAAGAUGUCUCCUGCUUGGUUUACUGAGCACAAGCUUACUGCAGCAACAGUAUUUGGCAGUUGCUAAAAGAUACUUUGUCUGCUUUCAUUAAUGUCUGGUUUUAGGUGAGUCUAGAGAUUAAGGUAUUACAGGUAGUUCACUGUAGGAGCAGGGCAUAUACCUGCUUCCUGGAAAAAUGAACUGUACAUCUUGCAGUACUGUCCCUUGGAGUGGGAGAAAAAUGACGGAUAGGAGCCUGAAUAAAUAAAUACUGAGAAGCAAAUAGAACAGUUCAUGAUCUAAAAUGAGAGUUUUUGGAGAGAUUGCUGUCAAAUUGGAGACUUUGCUGUUCAAUUCUGAACACUUGCUUCAUAGAACUACAAAUAUAAAACAUGGGAACAAAACCUAAGAAUCUGAAGCUAGGAAGGCAUGAAUUCAGUGCUUUUAUUGGCCUUAAACCAUGUUGUGUAAGCUGCCCCAUGUCCCAAUCCAAGGAACAAGAUGCUUGCUGUAUGAAUUGCUGAAAAAGAACAAAUGUAAUCAGUGGCCUUAUUUGUGCUUUCACUGGGAAGAUAGGGCAUGCUGGGCUUUCCAACAUGCCGACUGGCUACGUGAGCUUGGGGGUGUGAAUGUCAGGAUGUGUCAGUUAUCCCAAUUCUCUCACUCAAAUGUGCUACAACCUUCUCCCCGAGUAGGGGGUGAAAAGCUGUUGCAUGCUAGGUUGCUUCAGGUAAAACAGUGGGGACUCCUUUGCUCACCCCUGCAGUAAGAAUAUAUUGUUUAUAUCCAAAACUAAGAACUGUAGAACUUACUGAAUAAAAUAAGGGGUUCUUCAUGUUUUC
Long non-coding RNA from Strigops habroptila (Kakapo), 3142 nucleotides. Lineage: Eukaryota; Metazoa; Chordata; Aves; Psittaciformes; Psittacidae. The record is from Ensembl.